RNAcentral lists this transfer RNA (76 nucleotides) under Alphaproteobacteria bacterium. Its description in RNAcentral is "tRNA-Arg". It matches the Rfam family "tRNA". From Rfam's summary of the family: Transfer RNA (tRNA) molecules are approximately 80 nucleotides in length. Their secondary structure includes four short double-helical elements and three loops (D, anti-codon, and T loops). The record is from RNAcentral. Lineage: Bacteria; Pseudomonadati; Pseudomonadota; Alphaproteobacteria.
GUCCCCAUAGUUCAACAGGAUAGAACAAGUUCCUCCUAAGAAUUAAAUCCAGGUUCGAGUCCUGGUGGGGACGCCA